Molecule: transfer RNA, 71 nt
Filed under: Mycoplasma sp. CAG:956
Lineage: Bacteria; Bacillati; Mycoplasmatota; Mollicutes; Mycoplasmatales; Mycoplasmataceae
Rfam family: tRNA
About the family: Transfer RNA (tRNA) molecules are approximately 80 nucleotides in length.
Source: Rfam by way of RNAcentral
GGGACUUUAGCCAAGUGGUAAGGCGUGGGACUGCAACUCCCUGAUCACCAGUUCAAAUCUGGUAGGUCCCU